AUUUCCCUCUUUCUUUAGGCCUAACACAUGCAAGUCGAACGGCAGCACAGUAAGAGCUUGCUCUUACGGGUGGCGAGUGGCGGACGGGUGAGGAAUACAUCGGAAUCUACUUUUUCGUGGGGGAUAACGUAGGGAAACUUACGCUAAUACCGCAUACGACCUACGGGUGAAAGCAGGGGAUCUUCGGACCUUGCGCGAUUGAAUGAGCCGAUGUCGGAUUAGCUAGUUGGCGGGGUAAAGGCCCACCAAGGCGACGAUCCGUAGCUGGUCUGAGAGGAUGAUCAGCCACACUGGAACUGAGACACGGUCCAGACUCCUACGGGAGGCAGCAGUGGGGAAUAUUGGACAAUGGGCGCAAGCCUGAUCCAGCCAUACCGCGUGGGUGAAGAAGGCCUUCGGGUUGUAAAGCCCUUUUGUUGGGAAAGAAAAGCAGCAGGUUAAUACCCCGCUGUUCUGACGGUACCCAAAGAAUAAGCACCGGCUAACUUCGUG
Molecule: ribosomal RNA, 492 nt
Filed under: uncultured bacterium
Lineage: Bacteria
Description: partial 16S ribosomal RNA
Rfam family: Bacterial small subunit ribosomal RNA
Source: RNAcentral